Molecule: ribosomal RNA, 301 nt
Filed under: uncultured bacterium
Lineage: Bacteria
Description: partial 16S ribosomal RNA
Rfam family: Bacterial small subunit ribosomal RNA
Source: RNAcentral
CAGUAGCCGCGGUAAUACGGAGGGUGCGAGCGUUAAUCGGAAUAACUGGGCGUAAAGGGCACGCAGGCGGUGACUUAAGUGAGGUGUGAAAGCCCCGGGCUUAACCUGGGAAUUGCAUUUCAUACUGGGUCGCUAGAGUACUUUAGGGAGGGGUAGAAUUCCACGUGUAGCGGUGAAAUGCGUAGAGAUGUGGAGGAAUACCGAAGGCGAAGGCAGCCCCUUGGGAAUGUACUGACGCUCAUGUGCGAAAGCGUGGGGAGCAAACAGGAUUAGAUACCCCGGUAGUCCCUGUCUCUUAUAC